UAACUUCAUUUUAACACCUGAUUGUUUCUUAUUUCUUUUUAGUUGGAUCUCUUUGUAUUAAAAACCAACCACACCAAACAAAACAAAACAAACAAAAUUUUUAAAAAAAGACACCUAAGGCCAGCAUCCACUUAUUUUACAAAGCAUGAAAUUUCAGUGUUUUACAUAAUUGUGAACGGAGGAGAGUAUAUGGAAGAAGUAUAUUUGAACUGGAAUAAGGAAAAAAUGUGUGCCUUACUCUUUGAAGAUAUUUGUGGACAAUGGCAGUAGGUAAAGUACAGUUGCUUGAACAUAGCUAAAUGGUACAUCUGGUGGAGGG
Molecule: long non-coding RNA, 319 nt
Filed under: Felis catus (domestic cat)
Lineage: Eukaryota; Metazoa; Chordata; Mammalia; Carnivora; Felidae
Description: lncRNA (ENSFCAG00000047954.1)
Source: RNAcentral